RNAcentral lists this ribosomal RNA (400 nucleotides) under uncultured bacterium. Its description in RNAcentral is "partial 16S ribosomal RNA". It matches the Rfam family "Archaeal small subunit ribosomal RNA", at positions 473 to 873 of the family's 1478-position model. The record is from RNAcentral.
AUACCCGCAGCCCAAGUGGUGGUCGAUUUUAUUGAGUCUAAAACGUUCGUAGCCGGUUCAUUAAAUCCUUGGGUAAAUCGGAUGGCUUAACUAUCCGAAUUCCGGGGAGACUGGUGAACUUGGGACCGGGAGAGGCAAGAGGUACUUUUGGGGUAGGGGUAAAAUCCUGUAAUCCUAAAAGGACCACCGGUGGCGAAGGCGUCUUGCUAGAACGGAUCCGACGGUGAGGGACGAAGCCCUGGGUCGCAAACGGGAUUAGAUACCCCGGUAGUCCAGGGUGUAAACGCUGCAGACUUGGUGUUGGGGACCCUUCGGGGGUGUUCAGUGCCGGAGAGAAGUUGUUAAGUCUGCUACUUGGGGAGUACGUCCGCAAGGAUGAAACUUAAAGGAAUUGACGGGG